Molecule: long non-coding RNA, 1338 nt
Filed under: Nicotiana tabacum (common tobacco)
Lineage: Eukaryota; Viridiplantae; Streptophyta; Magnoliopsida; Solanales; Solanaceae
Description: long non-coding RNA (NTAB_LNC001564)
Source: RNAcentral
UUUCUGUUUCUUGGCCUUUGUUUGGCCAUUUUUAUAAUGAUAAGCUCUGAGGUUUUAGCUAGGGAGUUGUCUGAGACUUCCACCACUUCAGAAGAGGACUGUAAGAACCCUCUCAUUAUUUUCUCCCUAUUAUUAUCUGUAUAAUUAUUUAACCUUUCAAAUUAGUGGUUAACGUACGUGCAACUUGUAGUAAAGGUAUUAUUUCCUCUAAAGCAAGUACUUAGGUUUCGUUUGGUAAGGUGUAUAAGAAUAGUACUAAAUAUUGUGUAUCAGUAAUGCUGAGAUUAGUUAUGUUAGGAUUAUUUUUUGUGGUUGUUUGAUUUGGUAUAUUAAAGGUUUUGAAAUGACAAUUCUGUCUUUAUACAUGCUUAUCUAUGUAUUAAAGACUAUGGUAUUGCUAAUGCUAUGAUUUUUGUUAUAUAUACGAAUAAUACUGAAUAUGGUGUAUAACUAAUAUAAAUAUAAGUUAAAAAACACUACAGAGCAAGAAAUUAACAGUACUAAAGUUAAUACAUGUAUUAUUUUUCCUAAUACACCCUAUCAAACGACCCCUUAGAGUUACACGUCUGGUGUUCCUAAUGCUAGCUUGAUCAUGAAUCUUAGCAAGUUUUAUAGUAUUUCAUUUGACCUUAACAUAGCAAAUAUUAUAAAUGUGCUUGUAUCACGAAAAAUUACAUAUAAGUAAAGGAUUUAACAGUAUAAAAGAAUCUUAUGUGAUCUGAUCUGCAUUCGACCUAAUACUACAAAACAAUUUCACCAUCGACGUGUAGAAAUUAAACUUGUAAGAUUAUGGAUUACGGCAAAAUUGUGUUAAUUUUCUAGUUUAGAGUUGAAAGAGAAGGUGAAGUUGUCCCUUUGACCUAUAAAUCACGGGUUCGAACCGUAAAAGCAGCCGCGAAUACUUGCACUAGGAUAGGCUGUCUACGUCACAUCCUUGGGGUGCGACCCUUCUCCGGAUUCUGCGUGAAUGUCGAUGCCUUAUACACCGGGCUGUCCUUUGCUAGUUUAGAGUUAGUACAAGAAUAAAACAGCUAAUAAAAAUAACAUACCUUUUUUCACACAAUUGAUGCAGCAAAGAAAUCCGAUAACAAGAAUGAAGUGCAUGAAGCUCAAUAUGGUGGCGGAUACCCCGGUGGUGGCUACCCUGGCGGUGGAUACCCUGGCGGCGGAUACCCUGGUGGCGGCCGUGGUGGCGGUGGAUACCCUGGUGGCGGCCGUGGUGGAUACCCAGGUGGCGGCCGCGGUGGUGGACGUGGAGGAUACUGCCGCUAUGGUUGUUGCGGCCGCCGCAAUUACUACGGCUGCAGCAGGUGUUGCUACUACAAAGGUGAGGCCAUG